RNAcentral lists this ribosomal RNA (960 nucleotides) under uncultured bacterium. RNAcentral's name for it is "bacterial SSU rRNA". It matches the Rfam family "Bacterial small subunit ribosomal RNA", at positions 1 to 919 of the family's 1533-position model. The record is from RNAcentral.
GUAAAACGACGGCCCAGUGAAAUGUAAUACGACUCACUAUAGGGCGAAUUGAAUUUAGCGGCCGCGAAUUCGCCUUUAGAGUUUGAUCAUGGCUCAGUCUGAACGCUGGCGGCGUGGCUAAGACAUGCAAGUCGAACGGUGUAGCAAUACACAGUGGCGGACGGGUGAGUAAUGUAUCGCUAAUGUACCCCGAUGUCUGGGAUAGCUAGUCGAAAGAUUAGGUAAUACCAGAUGAGACCACAGAACCGCAUGGUUCGGUGCUCAAAGGGUCACCGCAUUGGGCGCAGGCGAUAUCGUAUCAGCUAGUUGGUGAGGUAACGGCUCACCAAGGCGACGACGCGUAUCCGGACUGAGAGGUCGGCCGGACACAUUGGGACUGAGACACUGCCCAGACUCCUACGGGGGGCUGCAGUAACGAAUCUUCCGCAAUGCACGAAAGUGUGACGGAGCGACGCCGCGUGUAGGAUGAAGUCCUUCGGGAUGUAAACUACUGUCAGGGGAAAGAAAGUUCUGAUCUACCCCAAAGGAAGAGGCGGCUAACUCUGUGCCAGCAGCCGCGGUAAGACAGAGGCCUCGAGCGUUAGACGGAAUCACUGGGCUUAAAGCGUGUGUAGGCGGGAGGGUAAGUACCUUGUGAAAUCCCACGGCUCAACCGUGGAACUGCUUGGUAUACUGCUUCUCUUGAGCAAUCCAGGGGCGGGUGGAACAGAUGGUGGAGCGGUGAAAUGCGUAGAUAUCAUCUGGAACGCCAAUGGUGAAGACAACCCGCUGGGGAUUUGCUGACGCUGAGACACGAAAGCCAGGGGAGCGAACGGGAUUAGAUACCCCGGUAGUCCUGGCCCUAAACGAUGUCCACUAGAUUGUGGCGGCUCUGACGCCGUCAUGGUCGAAGCAAAAGUGUUAAGUGGACCGCCUGGGAAGUACGGUCGCAAGGCUAAAACUCAAAUGAAUUGACGGGGG